This 403-nucleotide ribosomal RNA is filed under the name Fusobacteriota bacterium. RNAcentral describes it as "Fusobacteria bacterium partial 16S ribosomal RNA". It matches the Rfam family "Bacterial small subunit ribosomal RNA", at positions 355 to 776 of the family's 1533-position model. The record is from RNAcentral. Lineage: Bacteria; Fusobacteriati; Fusobacteriota.
UGGGGAAUAUUGCACAACGGAGGGAACUCUGAUGCAGCGACGCCGCGUGAACGAAGAAGGCUUUCGAGUCGUAAAGUUCUUUUUUAUGGGAAGAUAAUGACGGUACCAUAAGAAAAAGCCCCGGCUAACUUCGUGCCAGCAGCCGCGGUAAUACGUAGGGGGCUAGCGUUGUCCGGAAUCACUGGGCGUAAAGGGUUCGCAGGCGGAAAUGCAAGUCAGGUGUAAAAGGCAGUAGCUUAACUACUGUAAGCAUUUGAAACUGCAUAUCUUGAGAAGAGUAGAGGUAAGUGUAAUUUUUAGUGUAGCGGUGAAAUGAGUAGGUAUUAAAAAGAAUACCGGUGACGAAGGCGACUUACUGUGCUCAUUCUAACGCUGAAGAACGAAAGCGUGGGUAGCAAACAGG